CAGUAGCCGCGGUAAUACGUAGGUGGCAAGCGUUGUCCGGAAUUAUUGGGCGUAAAGCGCGCGCAGGCGGAUAGGUCAGUCUGUCUUAAAAGUUCGGGGCUUGACCCCGUGAUGGGAUGGAAACUGCCAAUCUAGAGUAUCGGAGAGGAAAGUGGAAUUCCUAGUGUAGCGGUGAAAUGCGUAGAUAUUCGCAAGGACACCAGUGGCGAAGGCGGCUCACUGGCCCGAUACUGACGCUGAGGCACGAAAGCGUGGGGAGCAACAGGAUUAGAUACCCCUGUAGUCCCUGUCUCUUAUACAC
This 301-nucleotide ribosomal RNA is filed under the name uncultured bacterium. RNAcentral's name for it is "partial 16S ribosomal RNA". It matches the Rfam family "Bacterial small subunit ribosomal RNA", at positions 509 to 809 of the family's 1533-position model. The record is from RNAcentral.